RNAcentral lists this ribosomal RNA (404 nucleotides) under Verrucomicrobiota bacterium. RNAcentral's name for it is "Verrucomicrobia bacterium partial 16S ribosomal RNA". It matches the Rfam family "Bacterial small subunit ribosomal RNA", at positions 355 to 776 of the family's 1533-position model. Lineage: Bacteria; Pseudomonadati; Verrucomicrobiota. The record is from RNAcentral.
UGGGGAAUAUUGCACAAUGGGGGAAACCCUGAUGCAGCGACGCCGCGUGAGCGAAGAAGGUUUUCGAAUCGUAAAGCUCUGUCCUAUGAGAAGAUAAUGACGGUAUCAUAGGAGGAAGCCCCGGCUAAAUACGUGCCAGCAGCCGCGGUAAUACGUAUGGGGCGAGCGUUGUCCGGAAUUAUUGGGCGUAAAGGGUACGUAGGCGGUCUAUUAAGUCAGGGGUGAAAUCCCGGGGCUCAACCCCGGAACUGCCUUUGAUACUGGAAGUCUUGAGUAUGGUAGAGGUGAGUGGAAUUCCGAGUGUAGAGGUGAAAUUCGUAGAUAUUCGGAGGAACACCAGUGGCGAAGGCGGCUCACUGGACCAUUACUGACGCUGAGGUGCGAAAGCGUGGGGAGCAAACAGG